Molecule: long non-coding RNA, 394 nt
Organism: Eublepharis macularius
Lineage: Eukaryota; Metazoa; Chordata; Lepidosauria; Squamata; Eublepharidae
Exons: 3
Source: RefSeq, a predicted model, not a curated record
UGUUUACUUUUUCUGCUGGAAGAAGAUCUAGAGUCACUUCCUCUCUCCCAGCUCUGCCACACUUCAUCCACGACAGCAAUCCUGGUUAUCCUUACUGGAUGCUGCUUUCUUGUGUUCUGCCCCCCACCUCCAGCUAUUCGGCACAACAUACAGUGUCACAUCUUGCUAUAUCUUCAGGUGGCACCUAAUGCUUUCUUGGUAGAAUGAAAUCGUAGCUUUUACAGAAGUGGGAUUUGGUAGAGAGCAUCAGAAGUUGCCUGGAAAAAUCUACUCAGCUGUUCUUAAAAGAAAUCUCCUGUAAGUGGUUGAUGUAUAAACUCCAGAAGAAGUUCCCAGACCUUUUCAGGCGCAAACCAGUGGUCUAAGUGGGAAGGGGGGAAAUGAUUGAGUAUUG